AGGUGCGAUCAUACCAGCACUAAUGCAUUAGAUCCCAUCAGAACUCUGCAGUGAAGCGUGCUUGGGUGAGAGUAGUACUAGGAAGGGUGACCUCCUGGGAAGUCCUCGUGUUGCACCUC
This 119-nucleotide ribosomal RNA is filed under the name Vigna angularis (adzuki bean). Lineage: Eukaryota; Viridiplantae; Streptophyta; Magnoliopsida; Fabales; Fabaceae. The record is from RNAcentral.